This is an RNA transcript of Erpetoichthys calabaricus (reedfish), 2453 nucleotides long. It is a transcript of the gene named zinc finger protein 184-like, with no coding region annotated. The record is from RefSeq and is a predicted model, not a curated record. Lineage: Eukaryota; Metazoa; Chordata; Cladistia; Polypteriformes; Polypteridae. The transcript is spliced from 4 exons.
UUGAUCUUAUGGCCGUGAUGUCGGAGCGCGAGGGUCUCAUAAAAGCAAACUAGUGAUGUGUUGCUGGAUACUGAUGUGUCGAGCUUUCGACAAGUAGAUAUUGCUGCAGAUGAGGGGGAUGACCAAAUAGGCAGCUGACUGCACAGAUAUCAAUGACGUCAUGACGCCAGCGUGCCUCAAAAUCACGUGACAGGAGCAUUUCAAACAAGCAUCAUAGCGGCGUAUCGAGAGCGCAACACGUCAGUAUCCAGCAGCACAUCACUAGUCUGCUCUUAUAAGACCCCCGCGCUCAGACUUGUUCACGGCCAUAAGAUCGAGCAAAGGUGCGGAAGGACUUUCCCAUUUCACGUGGCCAUACACUGAGGUGUCUAAUGGCCUCCAGCUCAGGCCUGUCCAUGUGAGAAGUGAAUCUGAGAAGAGAAGGGCAGACACUUAAAGAGAGAGAAGUGUUUCCCACAGAGCAUGGCAUCUGCCAAAGAAAAUUGUGUGGAUGAAAGAACAGUGGACAUUAAAGAAGAGGACUAUGAGUGGCUCACACCAGAGGAUGUGUGUGAAGCUGGAGGAUCACGAAGAAAGAAUUUCAGUUUUUAAAGAGGAGGAGGAGUGCAAGGGGGUGACUGCUGCCAUCAAAGCUGAGGAUUUAAAUGAUUUCUCCAUUGGUCUUGAACUUCAAAAGCAUGAAACUGAGGAUAUUUUUAAGCAAGAUGCUUGUGAAGAAACUCCAUCCAGUUUACAGCCCUGGUCCACUAAUACGGGACGACUGGCUAUGCAGGAGAAUUCUGCCGAGCUGAAAUCAGAGUUAUCGGAGUCUGAAGAGAAAAUCACUGAUGGAAAUGGAGGAGAAGAAGAAGAGUCACCUGGGAGUGUUGGAAUAAAUUUACAGAAGAAUGGCAGCUUCUCUCCACCUUCAUUUGGUCAGCCCUCUCUUCAAUACAAUGAGAAAGGUAUAAUGAAAUCAGCAGGAGGAUCACAGAACCUGACAGAAGCCUUUUUGCAGUGCACUUCUCUCCCUGCUACUGGAGUAACACAGACAGAAGCCAUCAAAACUGAUCGACAGCAAGUGGAGAAAGAAAACCAAAUUCAUACUGGAAAAAAAUGUUUAGAAUGUGGCAAACAAUUCACACACAAAAGUGAUCUAAAUAAGCAUAUGAAGAUUCACAUUGGAGAUAAACCAUAUUGUUGUCAUGAAUGUGGUAAGCCGUUUUCAAGGAGAAGCCAUCUUCAGAGUCAUAGAAGAAUCCACACAGGAGAAAAACCUUAUUGUUGUCCAGAAUGUGGCAAACAAUAUUCUGACAAACUCAGUUUUCAAAGGCACAAAUAAAUUGAUACUGGAGAGAAGCCAUAUUGCUGUUCUCAAUGAGGAAAAAGGUUUUUCAACAGUAGGUGUUUUCGAGUACACACACAAACUCACACUGAAGAUAAAAUGCAGUUUGUCUGUUCUGAAUGUGGCAAAUGUUAUGUAAUCAAGAAAAGUCUUCAUAUACACACCAAAAUCCACACUGGAGAAAGAUAUUUUUGCUGUUCUGAAUGGGGGAAACGAUCCUUAGACUUAAGCAUACUUCAGUUCCACAUCUGAACUCACACUGGCGAGAAACCUUAUUGUUGUCCUGAAUGUGUUAAGCAGGUCUCACAAAAAAGCACCCUACAGUGUCACAUCAGACUUCACACCGGAGAGAAACCUCACCAUUGCUUGGAAUGUGGCAAACUAUUCUCAUGCCUCAAUUCUCUGUAUAAUCAUAGGAAAAGCCUUACAGUUGUACUGAAUGUUGAAUGUGAUUCUCCUAUAAUAGUUUUCUUCACAAUCAUAAAAUAAUUCAUUGUGGUAAGAAAUAACACUGUUCUGACUGUUGCAAGUUUUUCUCAGAAAGCAGGACUCUCAAGGAUCAUAUGAGAAUUCACUCUGGAGUGAGACCUUACUGCUGUCCAGAGUGUGGCAAACGAUUCUCAGUUCAAAGCGCACUUAGGUGCCACAGAAGGAUCCACACUGGAGAGAAGCAGUACACCUGUUCUGAAUGUGGUAAAGGGUUCUCUUCCAGAAAAAGUUUUCAGAGACACACGCAAAGUCAUAUUGGAGUAAAGCCUGUCCCAGAAAUGACAAAUGAUAUUUCCAUUGGCUCCUCAAUCAAAAAACAUUAAGAAAAAUCUUCUGAAUGCUUUAAAGGACUCCAGUUGAAAGUAGCUAAUAAGUACAUAAGAAUAGUGGAGAAAACACAAAGUGGCAAACAGAUCAUAGAUGUAAGGUCACCUCAGAGCCACAUAUAAAUUCACAGUGGAAUACAACACAUAUUUAACAAACAGCAAGAAGCUUCUUCAACAACUUACAGGUGCAAGAAAAUAAAAAAAACCUCAUUGUUGUCCUGAAUGUGGUUACCGCUUUUCAGACAGCAGUGGCCUUCAUAUUCAUAAAUGACUGUCUUACUUGUGGUAAGCCUCUUAGCUCAUCUGAAUGUUGA